GACGAACGCUGGCGGCGUGCUUAACACAUGCGAGUCGAACGGAAAGGCCUGCUUUCCCUUGUGGAUUGCGGGUACUCGAGUGGCGAACGGGUGAGUAACACGUGAGUGAUCUGCCCCCAACUUGGGUAUAAGCCUGGGAAACUGGGUCUAAUUCCCGAUAGGACUGCAGGGUGGUGCCUGUGGUGGAAAACGAUUUUCUAGUGGUUGGGGAUGAGCUCGCGGCCUAUCAGCUUGUUGGUGGGGUAAUGGCCUACCAAGGCGGCGACGGGUAGCCGGCCUGGGAGGGUGGACGGCCACAUUGGGACUGAGAUACGGCCCAGACUCCUACGGGAGGCAGCAGUGGGGAAUAUUGCACAAUGGGCGGAAGCCUGAUGCAGCGACGCCGCGGGGGGGAUGACGGCCUUCGGGUUGUAAACUCCUUUCGACCGCGAGGAAGCCACCUGGUUGGAAGGGUGGUGACGGUAGUGGUAGAAGAAGCACCGGCUAACUACGUG
This 494-nucleotide ribosomal RNA is filed under the name uncultured bacterium. RNAcentral's name for it is "partial 16S ribosomal RNA". It matches the Rfam family "Bacterial small subunit ribosomal RNA", at positions 28 to 507 of the family's 1533-position model. The record is from RNAcentral.